CAGCAAUUCUACAUUUUCUCCAGUGGUGCCCCACACCACCAAGAACAGUGCGUCCCUGUGUCUGGCUGAGCAGCUCAGCAUCCUAUGUGUGCGGACAACAGCAUCCCUGACUCACGGGCUCCAGAGGCUGCAGCAGAAUUCAGGAGGCUGAGGCAAGAGGAUCAAAAGUUCAGAGCCAGUCUCAGCAACAGAGAAAGUUCAAGGCUGGUUUAGGUGAGUGGCACUAUUUGGAGGUGUGGCCUUGUUGGAGUAGGCGUGGCUCCAUUGGAAUGGGCGUGGCCUUGUUGGAGUAGGCAUGUCACUGUGGGUUAAGACCCUAA
Molecule: long non-coding RNA, 320 nt
Organism: Rattus rattus (black rat)
Lineage: Eukaryota; Metazoa; Chordata; Mammalia; Rodentia; Muridae
Exons: 3
Source: RefSeq, a predicted model, not a curated record